This 61-nucleotide transfer RNA is filed under the name Wyulda squamicaudata. Its description in RNAcentral is "tRNA-Lys". Lineage: Eukaryota; Metazoa; Chordata; Mammalia; Diprotodontia; Phalangeridae. The record is from RNAcentral.
CAUUUUUAAGAUAAUUAUAGUACAUUAAAGUAUUAAAGGAUUUAAUUAUCCCUUAAAAUAU